RNAcentral lists this ribosomal RNA (415 nucleotides) under uncultured bacterium. RNAcentral describes it as "bacterial SSU rRNA". It matches the Rfam family "Bacterial small subunit ribosomal RNA", at positions 355 to 787 of the family's 1533-position model. The record is from RNAcentral.
UCGGGAAUUUUGGGCAAUGGGCGAAAGCCUGACCCAGCAACGCCGCGUGAAGGAUGAAGUAUUUCGGUAUGUAAACUUCGUAAGAAUAGGAAGAAUAAAUGACGGUACUAUUUGUAAGGUCCGGCUAACUACGUGCCAGCAGCCGCGGUAAUACGUAGGGACCAAGCGUUGUUCGGAUUUACUGGGCGUAAAGGGCGCGUAGGCGGCGUGGUAAGUCAUCUGUGAAAUCUCCGAGCUUAACUCGGAACGGUCAGAUGAUACUGCUGUGCUAGAGUACAGAAAGGGCAAUCGGAAUUCUUGGUGUAGCGGUGAAAUGCGUAGAUAUCAAGAGGAACACCUGAGGCGAAGGCGGGUUGCUAGGCUGAUACUGACGCUGAGGCGCGAAAGCUAGGGUAGCAAACGGGAUUAGAUACCC